RNAcentral lists this long non-coding RNA (402 nucleotides) under Glycine max (soybean). RNAcentral describes it as "long non-coding RNA (GMAX_LNC000387)". Lineage: Eukaryota; Viridiplantae; Streptophyta; Magnoliopsida; Fabales; Fabaceae. The record is from RNAcentral.
GCUUUCUUGAUGUCCGAAGGUGAAGACAAGUAGAGAAUUUACCUUGACCGGAGCACCGAGAACGAGAACAUAGAGUGCCUUUCUUUUUUCAAUUAUGCCCGCUGACCGCUUAAGGAGGUUGAACCCCCGAAGGAGAGAUAGGGCUGAAAUUCUCACCUCACUGACGAAGCCUUUAGCAGAUAUCACAUGGGUGGGGCAUUCAUCCUUUUCAAAGGGGCACACUAUUAUUCUGACAACGUCGAUCUGGCCAUAUGGCCCGUAGUGAUGAUAAAUAGAGAAAAACAUCCAACUUCCCUCCUCCAGAUUAGACCAUUGUGCCAAGAGCACCACGAAUGAAAUGAACAAGGACUGAUUUGGAAAGAAGGUUUGAAUACGAACCUGAACUAGAAGGGGCAAGAGAUU